GACGAACGCUGGCGGCGUGCUUAACACAUGCAAGUCGAACGGUAAGGCCCUUCGGGGUACACGAGUGGCGAACGGGUGAGUAACACGUGGGUGAUCUGCCCUGCACUUCGGGAUAAGCCUGGGAAACUGGGUCUAAUACCGGAUAGGACUCCUGGCUUCAUGGUUGGGGGUGGAAAGCUUUUGCGGUGUGGGAUGGGCCCGCGGCCUAUCAGCUUGUUGGUGGGGUAAUGGCCUACCAAGGCGACGACGGGUAGCCGGCCUGAGAGGGUGACCGGUCACACUGGGAGUGAGAUACGGCCCAGACUCCUACGGGAGGCAGCAGUGGGGAAUAUUGCGCAAUGGGCGCAAGCCUGACGCAGCGACGCCGCGUGAGGGAUGACGGCCUUCGGGUUGUAAACCUCUUUCAGCUAUGACGAAGCGCAAGUGACGGUAGUAGCAGAAGAAGGACCGGCCAACUACGUGCCAGCCGCCGCCGUAA
RNAcentral lists this ribosomal RNA (478 nucleotides) under uncultured bacterium. RNAcentral's name for it is "partial 16S ribosomal RNA". It matches the Rfam family "Bacterial small subunit ribosomal RNA", at positions 28 to 523 of the family's 1533-position model. The record is from RNAcentral.